Molecule: ribosomal RNA, 253 nt
Filed under: uncultured bacterium
Lineage: Bacteria
Description: partial 16S ribosomal RNA
Rfam family: Bacterial small subunit ribosomal RNA
Source: RNAcentral
UACGUAGGUGGCAAGCGUUGUCCGGAUUUACUGGGCGUAAAGAGCGCGCAGGCGGUCGUUCAAGUCGCGUGUGAAAGCCCCCGGCUCAACUGGGGAGGGUCACGCGAUACUGAUCGACUCGAAGGCAGGAGAGGGUAGUGGAAUUCCCGGUGUAGUGGUGAAAUGCGUAGAUAUCGGGAGGAAUACCGAUGGCGAAGGCGGCUCGCUGGGCCAUUCCUGACGCUGAGACGCGAAAGCUAGGGGAGCGAACAGG